Molecule: ribosomal RNA, 253 nt
Filed under: uncultured bacterium
Lineage: Bacteria
Description: partial 16S ribosomal RNA
Rfam family: Bacterial small subunit ribosomal RNA
Source: RNAcentral
UACAGAGGUGCCGAGCGUUAGGCGGAAUCACUGGGCUUAAAGCGUGUGUAGGCGGAUCCGUAAGUACCUUGUGAAAUCCCACGGCUCAACCGUGGAACUGCUUGGUAUACUGCGGGUCUUGAGCUAUCUAGGGGCAACCGGAACAAACGGUGGAGCGGUGAAAUGCGUAGAUAUCAGGAGGAACACCUGUGGUGUAGACGGCUUACUGGACCAUGACUGACGCUGAGGUACGAAAGCGUGGGGAGCAAACAGG